ACAGCCACUGCUGGCAUCCAGCAGGUUCCAGCCCAUUGGAGAAGUAGGUGCUUGCAGAGCAAAAAGUAAUCCUGAAAGGAUGCAGUGAUUUCCCUCUCUUCACCCAUAGAUUUUUUCAGGCUCCUGCCUAAUAGCUACAAUUCUUCACUAGAGUUAGGGAGGCUACUGUUAGUUGUUGUAUCUUUCUGUAAAGAAGGUAUUUUUUGCAGUUGUCUAAAACUCUGUUUUCCAUGAAAGUUGCUUCAGCAACAUUACAUUAGACAUACAUUACAUUACAACAUACAUUAGCCUUGCCUAUGAAUAGGAACAAUCAGCCAUUUUAUGGUGGAAGCAGCUUGCUUAGGAACUUUAGUGGUUCCUAAGAAACAAACAUCUCUGCCAAACAUUUGUAGUGGGGAAUGCAAUACACAAGUAACAGCAAGCCUUGUUGAUUUGUCUUGUGCUCUCUGCUGUGAGCUCUUCGUCCAUUGUGGAUAUCUGCUGAGAAGGAUGCUGAGGGAAACUUCAAAUUCUGUAAUCCCAGAGUCAAACCUGGGCAGGAGGAGAGAGCAGCAGGUCACACACUGAAGUGGUCAGAUUCUAACCUUGACUUUGGUCAGUGCCACAUUAUAAAGGAUGUGAGUUACUCAUGUCUUUGCACAGAAGAAAGAAAAGACAGAGAGCGAUGAACAGUAGCAGCUCUUUACAUGAAAUUUAGCACCUAAUAGACAGGAAAAAUGCACGAUUUAAGAUUUAUUUAAUAUAGAUUUUUAAAAUUCCUUAUAGUUUUGAAAAAGAUGUAUUGUUUUUUUGGGUGGCACCCUGAUUUAACUGAGGCUAUGUUAAGAGCCCCUAAGAAGAAGCUCAUCCAUAUGCUGAAGAAGACUGGGCUCAGUUUCCUGCAGAGGAAGAGUGCUGGAUGAAGCAUGGAAGCAGGCAGGCUGUGCAGCAAACUGAGACAUCCUGUGCCUCUGCUGCUGCCAUGUAAUGUAAGAAAAUAAGAGGUCCAUUGUGUUAUCUGAGCAAAGAUGCCUGUUCGUGCAGUCCUAGCUGUAUCCACAGUCAGGAGAGUUGACUCCCCAUGGCUAAAAUCCAUCCAAAUCCUCUACAGUGACACAGUGAAAAUUGGACCACUUGUGAUGACUCUUAGAAGAGUCCAUCUCACCUUCCUGGCCAGAAAGGUUCAAUCCCAAAUUCCACACCUCUCCCCCAUAGGAGAGGCCCAACAGCUACAAUGCUGGUACAGGAGCUGGAGUGGAGUGUGAGGUGGCAGAAAGCAUCUGUUUCUCUGACUGAAGCUGUUCCACUGUGCAGAAAAACCUUCACAAGUAAAAUGAUCAAUCAGGCACCAAGAGAAGUAUAUGACUGUAUCAUCUAGCAGUUUGUGCAGCUACUUGGCAGAAGGAAAUCUACAUAUCACCCCUCCAUCAGGCUCUUUCUGCAUGAU
Catharus ustulatus (Swainson's thrush) is the source of this 1426-nucleotide long non-coding RNA. RefSeq lists it as uncharacterized. The record is from RefSeq and is a predicted model, not a curated record. The transcript has 3 exons. Lineage: Eukaryota; Metazoa; Chordata; Aves; Passeriformes; Turdidae.